AUGAAUUCUACUAUGCUAACUCAGUUUAGGCCCAUCAGCUUAUGCAACGUAUUAUACAAAAUUGCGUCCAAGGUGAUUGCAAACAUAUUGAAGAUGAUUCGUCCGGACAUCAUUUCAGAGGAACAAUUAGCAUUUGUGCCAGGCAGGCAUAUCACAGAUAAUAUCAUCAGUGUUUAUGAAUGUCUUCACUUUAUGAAACGCAGCAAGGCAAAAGUAAAUAGUUUUUAUGCGCUCAAACUGGAUAUGAUGAAGGCAUACAACAGACUAGAGUGGGAUUAUCUACAGGCGAUGAUGAUAAAACUUGGUUUUGCUCCAUCAUGGGUCCAGAUAGUUAUGAGUAUGGUUCGGUCACUAUCCUUUUCUGUACUUUUCAAUGGUGAGAGGCUUGACACUUUCAAUCCAUCCAGAGGCAUUCGGCAGGGAGAUCCGAUAUCCCCAUAUAUCUUUUUAAUCGCAGCGGAGGGCCUUUCGUGCCUACUGAAAUCCAGUUCGUCUUUGUCUCAGCUAGAAGGGAUCAAGGUGGCAUCCACGGCGCCAGCCAUGAACCAUCUCCUUUUCGCUGACGACAGCCUGUUGUUGUUUAAAUCGAGUGUUGAAGGGGCUGUGGCAGUAUCAAACUUGCUGGAGAGUUACUGUGUGGCAUCUGGCCAGCGGAUAAACCAUGAGAAAUCAUCAAUCUUCUUUAGUAAGGGUUGUCCACAAGCCAUGAGAGAGAGCAUCAAACAUAUUUUAAAUGUUCAGAACGAGUCACUCAGUGACAGGUACCUGGGGAUGCCCACAGAUGUGGCGCACUCGAAGAAUGGCACAUUCAGAUAUUUGAGAGAUCGUGUGUGGGAGAAGAUUAGAGGGUGGAUGGAGAAGCUGUUAUCUUCAGCGGGCAAAGAAAUUCUUAUCAAAUCGGUGGCUCAGUCAAUACCAGUUUUUUCGAUGUCAUGCUUCCGUCUCCCAUGA
This 951-nucleotide ribosomal RNA is filed under the name Triticum aestivum (bread wheat). Its description in RNAcentral is "partial small subunit ribosomal RNA". Lineage: Eukaryota; Viridiplantae; Streptophyta; Magnoliopsida; Poales; Poaceae. The record is from RNAcentral.